ACCCAACUGACGAGUUCCAAACAGGACGAAAGGCGCUUCCUGGAU
Schistosoma mattheei is the source of this 45-nucleotide non-coding RNA. Lineage: Eukaryota; Metazoa; Platyhelminthes; Trematoda; Strigeidida; Schistosomatidae. The record is from Rfam.